CCUACGGGCGGCUGCAGUGAGGAAUAUUGGGCAAUGGGCGCAAGCCUGACCCAGCAACGCCGCGUGAAGGAAGAAGGCUUUCGGGUUGUAAACUUCUUUUCUCAGGGACGAAUAAAGUGACGGUACCUGCGGAAUAAGCCACGGCUAACUCCGUGCCAGCAGCCGCGGUAAUACGUAGGUGGCAAGAGUUAUCCGGAUUUAUUGGGUGUAAGGGGCGUGUAGGCGGGGGCGCAAGUCAGAUGUGAAAACUCAGGGCUCAACCCUGAGCCUGCAUUUGAAACUGUGUUUCUUGAGUGCUGGAGAGGCAAUCGGAAUUCCGUGUGUAGCGGUGAAAUGCGUAGAUAUACGGAGGAACACCAGUGGCGAAGGCGGAUUGCUGGACAGUAACUGACGCUGAGGCGCGAAAGCGUGGGGAGCAAACAGGAUUAGAUACCCCUGUAGUC
RNAcentral lists this ribosomal RNA (443 nucleotides) under uncultured bacterium. Its description in RNAcentral is "partial 16S ribosomal RNA". It matches the Rfam family "Bacterial small subunit ribosomal RNA", at positions 338 to 795 of the family's 1533-position model. The record is from RNAcentral.